Molecule: non-coding RNA, 46 nt
Organism: Vibrio caribbeanicus ATCC BAA-2122
Lineage: Bacteria; Pseudomonadati; Pseudomonadota; Gammaproteobacteria; Vibrionales; Vibrionaceae
Source: Rfam
UAAUAGGAUUUUUUGAAAUCCACCUUUUUAACUUUGAGCUUGUUGG